Molecule: ribosomal RNA, 492 nt
Filed under: uncultured bacterium
Lineage: Bacteria
Description: partial 16S ribosomal RNA
Rfam family: Bacterial small subunit ribosomal RNA
Source: RNAcentral
AGUGAACGCUGGCGGUAGGCCUAACACAUGCAAGUCGAACGGCAGCACAGUAAGAGCUUGCUCUUACGGGUGGCGAGUGGCGGACGGGUGAGGAAUACAUCUGAAUCUACUUUUUCGUGGGGGAUAACGUAGGGAAACUUACGCUAAUACCGCAUACGACCUACGGGUGAAAGCAGGGGAUCUUCGGACCUUGCGCGAUUGAAUGAGCCGAUGUCGGAUUAGCUAGUUGGCGGGGUAAAGGCCCACCCAGGCGACGAUCCGUAGCUGGUCUGAGAGGAGGAUCAGCGACACUGGAACUGAGACACGGUCCAGACGCCUACGGGAGGCAGCAGUGGGGAAUAUUGGACAAUGGGCGCAAGCCUGAUCCAGCCAUACCGCGUGGGUGAAGAAGGCCUUCGGGUUGUAAAGCCCUUUUGUUGGGAAAGAAAAGCAGCAGGUUAAUACCCCGCUGUUCUGACGGUACCCAAAGAAUAAGCACCGGCUAACUUCGUG